UCUCCGUAGGUGAACCUGCGGAGGGAUCAUUACAGAGUUCAUGCCCUCACGGGUAGAUCUCCCACCCUGUGUUAUUAUACUUUGUUGCUUUGGCAGGCCGCCCGCGUGGGCUACCGGCUCCAGCUGGUAAGUGCCUGCCAGAGGACCCCAAACUCUGAAUAUUUUAUUGUCUGAGUACUAUGUAAUAGUUUAAAACUUUCAACAACGGAUCUCUUGGUUCUG
RNAcentral lists this unclassified non-coding RNA (222 nucleotides) under plant metagenome. RNAcentral describes it as "partial contains small subunit ribosomal RNA, internal transcribed spacer 1, and 5.8S ribosomal RNA". The record is from RNAcentral.